This 20-nucleotide non-coding RNA is filed under the name Arabidopsis thaliana (thale cress). The record is from RNAcentral. Lineage: Eukaryota; Viridiplantae; Streptophyta; Magnoliopsida; Brassicales; Brassicaceae.
AGUAGCUGGAACUGGAACAU